GCAGUCCCUUUCGUCCAGUGGUUAGGACAUCGUCUUUUCAUGUCGAAGACACGGGUUCGAUUCCCGUAAGGGAUAGGUACUC
RNAcentral lists this transfer RNA (82 nucleotides) under Helianthus annuus (common sunflower). Its description in RNAcentral is "tRNA HanXRQr2_Chr17g0810381". The stretch from base 4 to 75 matches the Rfam family "tRNA". From Rfam's summary of the family: Transfer RNA (tRNA) molecules are approximately 80 nucleotides in length. Their secondary structure includes four short double-helical elements and three loops (D, anti-codon, and T loops). Further hydrogen bonds mediate the characteristic L-shaped molecular structure. tRNAs have two regions of fundamental functional importance: the anti-codon, which is responsible for specific mRNA codon recognition, and the 3' end, to which the tRNAs corresponding amino acid is attached (by aminoacyl-tRNA synthetases). tRNAs cope with the degeneracy of the genetic code in two manners: having more than one tRNA (with a specific anti-codon) for a particular amino acid; and 'wobble' base-pairing, i.e. permitting non-standard base-pairing at the 3rd anti-codon position. The record is from RNAcentral. Lineage: Eukaryota; Viridiplantae; Streptophyta; Magnoliopsida; Asterales; Asteraceae.